UCACAGGUCCUCCGACUUGCGUGUGUGCGUGCGUCUCAUUUUGUUUCCUUCCGUCGGGUCUCUUCUCUCUUUCUGCCUGCCGCUGCACCGCUUCCUGUGUUGUGAGUGUGUUUUGAAGCGCCGAGUUAUCAUGGCGGGCAAGACGGUGCGGGCGCUGCACCUUGAGGGCAACAAACUCUUCGAGGCGGGGCGCUUCAACGAGGCCGCGCGCGCGUUCCGCGACGCCGUGGAUCGCUUUCAGGCGGAUCAGCUCUCGACAAAAUCAGCCGUGGAGGAGUUCGUCAAGGUCGCCGGUAAUUUGUGUGUCUGCCACCACGCAACGGGUAACUGGCACGAGUGCGUCAAGGCGGCCCGCGAGUUACUCGCCAUCUAUCCGAUCAUACCCAAGGCCUACGCCGCGAUAGGGAUGUGCAUUGUGAACCGGCUGCUGGAGCAGGAGGCAGAGCAGCGAGCGAUGGAUGCGCAGAACAGCCCGAGGAUGCCGCCUCGGUCAAGCGAGGAGGUGCGGCGUGAUGUGCGGCGGUACUUGGUAAAGCUGGGCGGUGUGGUGUGUACAGCUGACGACGCCCACAAGUACCUGUGCCGCGCGAUUCUCUUGUCGGAAGGGGCGCUGCAGGUGCCCCUGGGCCCUUAUGUGGAGACGGCUGUGCGGUGGGUGAGCGAGCAGCUGCUGUCGGCCGGGCUCUCUUUAGAGCGUGAAUACGGCGACGACGUGAUGGGUGAGCUAAGCGUCCUGGAGGAGAGUGUUUGUGAUCCGCCGCCACUGCUGGAUGUGGCACCGGUGCCCAUUGAGCGUCACUCAAUUCGUGUGUUGGACGCCGUGGACAUGAGCGGCACUGCCCCUGAGGGCUGCCGCGUCGAGGAGCUUCCUGAGGCCGAGGCGGAGGGGAUUCUGCAGGCCAUUCAGGAGGGUCAGCGUGCCGCUCGGGGCGAGGCGGCUGACUCACCGUCUCCUGCCGCGGAGAGCGAUGCUGCCGGCACCUCCACCGCCACGGACCACAGUGGCAGCAUUUUCAACAACGCGAGCAGCCGCGGCAGCCACGCCGCAGUGGCACCGCCGCUGGACUACUUCCUGUCACAGCAGCGCACACGCGUGCGGGUGUGUCACGCCGAGAGGGGGGGUAUUCCUCGCGGCCUCACCCUCGUCCGUGCGUCGAAGCCGUUUGCUAUUGGCCAGCACAUACUGCCCGCCGCGCCUGCGGACCUCACCGCCGUGGCUGGUGCUGGAGUGCCGUCGCCAGCGGUGCCCCUUGCUUUGCCAUCCUCUACCCAAGGGGAGCUGGCGCUGCUGCACGCCGACCCCGCUACCUCCUCUAGUGCGGAGGGCGCCUUCGCAUUGCACGCCCUGUCGUCUUCGCUCGCGCAGACCGGCAGCGGCGAUGCGCUCUCGAUGAGGGAUCUGCCCACUUCGGAAUCACCGCCGCUUCUCAUGUGCAGCGCUUGUGGCCGGGAGCUGAACCCGGUGCAGUUUGCUGAUGCCUCGCCCACUGGCUGCUCCACGUGCAACGGCGUCGUGUACUGCAGUGCGGCGUGCGCGGUGGCCUACCGAGAUCGCCAUGACCGGCACGAGUGCGCCCUUCGUCUGGCGCUUCAGCGGCGCGUGGAGGCGUUGACCGCAGUGCCGCCAUCCACCGAUUCCGAAACCCCGCUGCCCGUCGGCGACGUUCUCCCAGGCGGCGGGUGGAAUGCUCUAGAUUUGCAUCGCCGCAUUCUGCCGCUCUGUAUCGCGGUGUACAGCGGUCUGCGGAGCAGGGCGCCUGGCGCAGCGGAGGUGCAGGCACAGGUUGAGCGCGGGGUACAGCGGCGCCUUCGCCAUGCACUUCCAGCUGAGGUCGCCGAAACCCUUGCCGAGUGGGCGAAGACGCUGGAGUCUGCGCUGGCCGCAUCAGCGUCGACGACUGGCACCGCAUCCUCGGCUCUGCCGCCGCAGGACGAGGAGGAGGGCAAACAGCGUGGCGACCAGCAGUGCGACCACCUCACCGAUGCGGCCACGCCCACCUCUUGCGCUGCCGCCGGCGAGAAGCCGUCUCUUGCAGCCCAUCUCCUCGCAAUCUUCUUCAUAGUGCGGCUCCUCGCUGUCAACCAUGCGGAGAGCCGCUGCAACGCCUUCUAUGUCGAGCGGCUCCUUCUCCGACACUCAUGCGAGCCGAACUGCAUAUGGUCCGACACGCUGCGCGGCAUCCUCACGGCCCGCUUUAUCUGCAAAGGCGAGGAGAUGACUAUGGCUGUCGACGACUGCUUCCCACAGCAUUGGCCGUGGCAGGUUCGACAGAAAUGGUUUGUGUACCAUCACGGGGUGCCGUGCCAGUGUGCGCGGUGCCUGCGGGAGGGGGCCGACCUGCACUACUCGCGUGGCAUGCUCGCAAAUGCAGUGGUGGAGCAGCUGCUAACGGCGGACGUCAUGGGUCAUCCGUGCCCGACACCGGCGCACAAGCACCCCACGCACCUCUUUCACCUGCCGGUUCAGAGGCUGGUCGAGCAGAGCAAGUCCCCACGGCAGCGCAACGUGCCUGCGUUGCUGUGCCGCCUUGAUGAGAUGCGCGCCGAGGUGGGCAAGUACGUGUUGCCCUCGCACUAUCUGCUGGAAGACAUUCGGCGCGCCAUGCUGAACGUGGCGGAGGCGGAGGGCCACCUCACUGGGUGCACUGCCGAGGCACAGCGCAGCCUCCUGUUCUGGGAGUCACAGUGGGCUGGUGCGAUUCCGGCGAAGGCGCAGCGGCUGCGCCUACUUCCAAGCGUCUUCGAGUGCGGCCGCCGGCGUAAGCCUCACCCACAUCAGCAGCUCCGCCGCCGACGUAACACAAGGCAACCGGCAACCAGCGCAUCUGCUCUGGCCGAGCAGCUGCAAGGCACCUCGCCGGAGCGGAGAGAGAGCGUCUCGCCGCCGUCGCCGGUUCCAACGCCGAUGGACGUGUCGCACGGCAGCAGCGGGACUGCGUUUUCCGCCGUACACGCCUUCCGCCCAGCAGGGGAGGGCUAUGGCGACCACGAGGCAAACAAGGCUGAGGUUGCAUCCGCUGUUGCCACCGCCGCUGCGCCACCACGCACGCCGGUACCGGCACCUCUCAUUGCCACGAAAGACUUCUCUGGCCGCAACAUCAUUGACAUUUUCUAUGGCUCCUACCAGACGUGGUAUAUGUGAAUGGGAGGGCAGGCGAUAAGGUGCGGCGACGCUCACGUGUGACCUGCUUUAUUGCAGAGAGUGGGGCGGGGACAGAGGGCGAAGACACAGCUGUAACGACUACGCUUGCAUGCAUUUUUCCACUCUCGCACGUAUGCAUAUGUUAGGUGCCCGGAGACCUUCUCUUGGCAAUGCUGCCGUCUACCCGAAUCCGAGGAGGCGCAUGCAUCGCGUGUGAAGGGAGUGGGGAGAAGGAGGAGGGGAGUGGAGGGGCCGCAGCGAGGUCGCGCACGCUGUCAUGCUGCACAUUUCCUUUUACUCGACGCCCCCCCCCCCCCCUCCCUCUUGCUCGCCCGCGUCGCGCAUGCGUUGCUUUCCUUUGCUUCUGUCUCCGGCGCACUUGCCACGCUUUCAAUGGCCAAACCGAAGAAGGAGGCUCACUGCCAACGCAC
RNAcentral lists this unclassified non-coding RNA (3573 nucleotides) under Leishmania donovani. Its description in RNAcentral is "gene:LdHU3.28.3720(CDS-product:Tetratricopeptide_ repeat_putative)". The record is from RNAcentral. Lineage: Eukaryota; Euglenozoa; Kinetoplastea; Trypanosomatida; Trypanosomatidae.